UUCACUAGAAAUUCAGCUCGACUGUAAUUCUUGUCGAAGACUAUCUCUGCAAUUUGGUUCAUAAAGCUUGGAGUCUCCAAGUCAGUUCGCCCAUGUCCAUCUAGAAUCAAAUUCUCUUCAAUCUGGCCGUCAUUAUCAACUUUAUUGUUGGCGUUAUUUACCCAUUCGACACUGACAGAUCGGCUCCUGAUUCUGGCACUCACUUCUUAGGUUCAUCUGGGCAUCUCAUGCUUCUUUCGGCGGCAGUGGCCUUUACGUAACCUAAACCGUCGUAUAUCAGAGUUCUCAUCAUGAAAGUUAUCCUUCUACUUACUUGCUUUGCUGGCCCCCAACCUACAUUGAUACUCCUUGGCACCGCCACGGUAGUGUUGAUGGGCCUCCAUCUGCUGAACAUCAUAGGGAGCACUCACCGGAACAUUCUAACUGAACGUGAGGCAAAUCGGCAUGGACACGGAGAUCGUCGUUUACCUCAUCUUUUGUUUCCUUGGACUCGGCACCCUUCCGUCCUUCGAUUCGCGCCAGGAGAAUUACGGAUUCAUCUCAAACUCGUCUACCGAUUUCGGAAAGAGCUCUGCUAUGACCCAACGAUCAUCUAGUCCACUGUGCCAACCGCUGCUUCGUUGGUGCUUGACUGCUUGGUUGGUUCUAAGGUUAGUGAUGUUGCUUUCCAAUAUGGCAUGUUGUUGCAGCCUACACUGGUGAAAGAAUUUUUGCAUCGAGUUAUACUGUUGCUGUUCCUUGGUGCCGGACUGCUGGUGUUGAGCACAAAAGUUACAUAAAGUUUUAAUUGUUAUUUGUGUCUAUACAGUUAACUGUUUAUAUGUUGAAAAGGAACAGAAACAGUUCCUUGGUGUUGAAUCGCUGGUGUUAUGCUACAGGAGUUACAUCCAGUAUUUUAUCUAAUUGCUAUUUGCGUUUAUGAAGUUAACCGUUUAUAUGUUGAGGAUGAAAAAAAAAGUAAUACGGGGAAUUUGUACAAAUAAUAAACAUGCCUUCGCGAUUGGGAAACCAACGAGGAGGAGAUUGGGGGGGGGGGAUUUGAUUUUCAUUAACAAGAAAUCGUAGUUGGUUUAAUAAGAUAGAAAUAAAAUCCUUUGUUAAUCACAUCCAUAUACCAACCCAUGCAUCCACAUCUAUUCCUCAAACCCGAUAGCCUCCACCAACAUCUAUUCCUUAAACCCCAAUUUCCCCACAAAUGUUUGUAAUAUCUGUAUAAUAUUGUUGAGUAAAUAAACUAUAUAUAUAA
Long non-coding RNA from Daphnia pulicaria, 1246 nucleotides. RefSeq lists it as uncharacterized. Lineage: Eukaryota; Metazoa; Arthropoda; Branchiopoda; Diplostraca; Daphniidae. The record is from RefSeq and is a predicted model, not a curated record. The transcript has 3 exons.